RNAcentral lists this long non-coding RNA (1172 nucleotides) under Panax ginseng (ginseng). RNAcentral's name for it is "long non-coding RNA (PGIN_LNC006947)". The record is from RNAcentral. Lineage: Eukaryota; Viridiplantae; Streptophyta; Magnoliopsida; Apiales; Araliaceae.
CUAGAUCUUCUUUCUCUUAAUUUCCUAACCAGCCCCCAUGCAGUUUCCUAAUCUUUUCUUCAUCCCCAUGCAGAUGCAAUUAAGCACAUGCACCCCUAUAUUUCUAUAAAUACCCUUCCCCUCUCCUCCCCUCCCCUCACCUCAGUAAAAAGUCAAUUAAUUAUAAGCACGCACCAUCCAUUAAUAUAUAUAUAUAUAUAACACCCCGCCCCCAGCUAGGUAAAAAUUCUUCUCUAGCUAGCUAGCUAGCGCGCGGGAACAAUAUGGUGUCAUCAAUAUCUUCCAAAUAUAGACAUGAGUACUGCUUUUCAUGGCAUCUCUUCUUCUGUGUUUUGUCUCUCCUCUUCCUUCUAUUAGCGGCGACUAGGCCAGUGAGGGUCGUGGAGGAAAUUUCUUCAACGGCCAUGAUCAUGAUACCAGAGCAAUUGAAGAAGCAUAAUUAUGAUGAACGACCAAAUCUCCAAGGCGCCUUGGUUUUCAGUAUUUUACCCAAGGGGGUACCUGUCCCUCCAUCUGGUCCAUCUGAGAGGCACAACUGAAACUCGGUGUCGUCCAUCGGUGCGUGCAUGGCAAUUAAGCUCGAUAUUAUCUAGUACUAAUUAAAAGAAUUAAUGAACAUCAAAUUAAACAGUGAUCAUACUUAAGCUCUCUUAAUUAAUGUGUUCCAUCCAUAUAGCUAGCUAGUUGUGGGUAUUUUAUAUUUAUUUAUUAUUCUUUUUUUUUUGUUAACUUCAUUAUAUAUAUAUAUAUAUAUAUGAUGUUUUUCUUUUUCAUGAGUUAUACUACUGUAACUGUAAGAAGAUUUGAAUGGUAAGUACUACUGUUUUUUGCUAUCAAAGAAGUUGAAUGACGUGAGAAUUGACAUCGUGGCUACCCACCAGAUUCUCUGUCUCCAUUUUUUUUGUUUUUUUAUAUUUUUUUAUUUAAAUUUUGACACCUAAUUUCUUAUUUAAUAUUAAUUAAUUUUAAAAUUAAAUAAAAUGACAUGUAUCAAAAUUUAAGUGAUAAAACAUAAAAAAAUAAAAAAUUUGAAGAUGGAGCAUCUGCUCACCAACCCACCUUUACAACUUUAUUUAGUUUCAGUGUGAAGUCAAUGAUGUUUUAAUUCAUUUCGGGCAAUUUGCGAGCUUUAAUAUUCUCUCCCUCUCUCACAAAGUCAAAUGCAAUUAAAG